This is a long non-coding RNA of Gossypium raimondii (Peruvian cotton), 497 nucleotides long. RefSeq lists it as uncharacterized. NCBI's taxonomy places the organism in Eukaryota, Viridiplantae, Streptophyta, Magnoliopsida, Malvales, Malvaceae. The record is from RefSeq and is a predicted model, not a curated record. The transcript is spliced from 2 exons.
UGGGCCGACGGAACAGGCCUGGUCUGCUAUGGGUGGCCUGCUGUUUGCUGAAAAUAGUCUGCUCUUUUUCUUUCUCUUUUUAUUUUUCUUCUUUCUUUCUUCUUUUUUCUUUCUCUUUUUUAUUUUUCUUCAGGCCGAACCCUAGCCUCUUUGCGCCGUUGACGACGUUUCCUCCGCCUGGUGCGACGGCCGAUGGUGGCGCGGUGGUGGCAGCAGAGGAGGGGGAGCAUGGCCGAUUGGGGGUGUCAGGAGUGGAAGGCGGUGCACGCAAGAACGCAGAUUGGGGGCGGUCUUGUCAUGCCCAGAAGGAUCGAAAUUUAGAAGACGCAAAAUAUUUGGGGUAAAAAUGUAAUUUUAGGAAAAUAAUUGGCCAAAAUGUAAUUUUUAGAAAGUUUAAGGGUCAAAGUGCAAUUUUGAGAAAGCUUAGGGGUUGAAAUGUAAUUUUAGAAAAGUUUAGGGUCGAAAUAUAAAUUUCAAAAAGUAUAGGGGUUAAAAUA